UUUCAGGCCUCCGCUUGAUGAGGAAUACCCCGAGAGCGAGGACGACAGCGAGCAUGGCUUAUGGAGUUUUGCAAGGAUCGAAAACUUUGCACGAAACUGGUAAGCUUUUCUUUCAAGAUGCUUGUGCUGAUCGAUCUGGAGAGCAUCGGGAAAGUGCCAGCGUUUGCAUUUAAAGGCUGGAUCGCAACAACGUUGGAGGCUGACCGGCGUUACACGAUUCUAUCUGACUUCCAUCAACUCGGACUCGUGCUCCAGUCUACAGAAGUCGAACCAAAGAGGAAGGACUGCUUGGAGUUCAUCGAUUUGCUCUAGAGCAAACUCAGGCGACCACUGCUAAAAGCUUUCUCGAACACAAGUGGAUCUCGCG
This 367-nucleotide long non-coding RNA is filed under the name Selaginella moellendorffii. RNAcentral describes it as "long non-coding RNA (SMOE_LNC000851)". Lineage: Eukaryota; Viridiplantae; Streptophyta; Lycopodiopsida; Selaginellales; Selaginellaceae. The record is from RNAcentral.